UCCAUCGCGAGGUGGAAUCUGAAGGAAGCCGCAGGCAAAAUCCCGGUCCGACGAACAGAAACCGCAUGAGACCCUCUCAUGAGCCUGUAAAUUGAACUGUGUAUCUGCUCCAUGAGAGAGUGGGGC
RNAcentral lists this non-coding RNA (126 nucleotides) under Desulfuromonas sp. DDH964. The record is from RNAcentral. Lineage: Bacteria; Pseudomonadati; Thermodesulfobacteriota; Desulfuromonadia; Desulfuromonadales; Desulfuromonadaceae.